UUUGAAGAGAGCAAAAUUGAGUAAAUCAGAGUACCAUGAGAUAAACGAUAUUCAAGCAACAUAACAUACAAACGGCAAAAUUUUACAUCUGAUAUCCAGCAUCCGGUUCCAAAAACUCUUAGAGCAGGAAUGGAAUUUUGGCACAUCAAGUGACCCAGAUUACUGAUUUUAUAUUAUGGAUGUCUAAAACCUGAGCAAAAAGUUUAUUCCCGGACUUUGUAGGUCCAAAAGGAUAGAAGUACCACAACGACUGUCCCAUACCCAAUAUAGAAAUAUCUUCAUCUUUUAUUCAUGUAACGAAUAUGAGAGGGUGUUAACUUUGGUCCUCUUCCCUCCCUCUGUUUUCUCUGUAUGAAGAAAAAGAGUUCUUUUCUAUAAAGAGUCAAAUAUGUGUAGAUAACGUAUGUGAAAAUGUAAAACAUUAUAUGUUAUUUUCAUGCUCACUCUUGAGACAGGUGUUGUUUUCCAUGCUUUAAUCAGAGGAAAAUGCUGCUCAGUUAAGAAUCUUUUUUAAGUUUACAUAGUGGAAAAGUUUGGAUUUGAAAUCAUUUAUUUUGCAUAUCACAUUGCUUCCUAAAUGACAGAAAAUGAUUACAUAAUUUGUCUACUUAGCUCCUUGUAGAGACACAUAUGUUGUGAGAGUAUGCUAUGCU
This 653-nucleotide long non-coding RNA is filed under the name Marmota monax (woodchuck). The record is from RNAcentral. Lineage: Eukaryota; Metazoa; Chordata; Mammalia; Rodentia; Sciuridae.